Molecule: ribosomal RNA, 460 nt
Filed under: uncultured bacterium
Lineage: Bacteria
Description: partial 16S ribosomal RNA
Rfam family: Bacterial small subunit ribosomal RNA
Source: RNAcentral
CCUACGGGCGGCAGCAGUGAGGAAUAUUGGUCAAUGGACGCAAGUCUGAACCAGCCAUGCCGCGUGCAGGAAGACGGCUCUAUGAGUUGUAAACUGCUUUUGUACGAGGGUAAACGCAGAUACGCGUAUCUGUCUGCAAGUAUCGUACGAAUAAGGAUCGGCUAACUCCGUGCCAGCAGCCGCGGUAAUACGGAGGAUUCAAGCGUUAUCCGGAUUUAUUGGGUUUAAAGGGUGCGUAGGCGGUCGGUUAAGUUAGAGGUGAAAUCCCGGGGCUCAACCUCGGAAUUGCCUCUGAUACUGGUCGGCUAGAGAGUAGUUGCGGUAGGCGGAAUGUAUGGUGUAGCGGUGAAAUGCUUAGAGAUCAUACAGAACACCGAUUGCGAAGGCAGCAUACCAGGCUACUUCUGACGUUGAGGCACGAAAGCGUGGGGAGCAAACAGGAUUAGAUACCCGGGUAGUC